AGGUGAUGGCAUUAAAAGGCGUGUCAGGUUAUUGCCUUCAGUGUAAAGGAUGACGAUAGUGCCUGAAUUGCAUUUGAAUUUGCCAUCAGGUCUGAUGUUCCAUGUGCAGUAGGAGGACAUGAGUUGGUGCACGGGGACUCAGUGCCAUGAACUAAAAAGCCACUGAACAGUUCCCUAGUGACUGGAGUUAAUCAGAUUUCACCAAAUGCCUAACCACGUUGUGGAAGAGAGUCUACAUGUGGGAGACACUGCUCGCUGCAUCUCCAUUUAAUCUCUUUCUCCUUUGAAGCAACGUAUUUCCCACAGGGUUUCCUCAGCACAUUAUCAUAGCCUUUCUACUAUGGCAGAUGGAUUUUUCUUCUGCUGCUUCAGAAGUCUGAACAAAAGAGAGCAAACUGGCAGAAGAAGCCCUGGUUCCUUCUAUAGUCAUCAUGAACUGGAAGAAGACACAAGUUCACUGACAACUGAGGAGUCAGCAAGAUUACAGUGGGGACUGGAUCAGGCAUGGCCUUGUCUCUUGUGGCAGGCAUUAAGUUUGAGAAAUGAAGACUUUUGUCCUACCCUGGAUGAAUGAACACACAUAUCACAGCACAUCUAACUCAUGGACCACUACUCAGCAACCAAAAGAACGGACUACUGAUGCCUCACGGACCACUACUCAGCAAUCAAAAGAAUGGACUACUGAUGCCUUACGGACCACUACUCAGCAAUGAAAAGAACAGACGACUGAUGCCCACACACACA
Molecule: long non-coding RNA, 744 nt
Organism: Bos taurus (domestic cattle)
Lineage: Eukaryota; Metazoa; Chordata; Mammalia; Artiodactyla; Bovidae
Source: Ensembl